CCUACGGGUGGCAGCAGUGGGGAAUAUUGGACAAUGGGCGAAAGCCUGAUCCAGCCAUGCCGCGUGUGUGAAGAAGGCCUUCGGGUUGUAAAGCACUUUCAGUGGGGAAGAAAGCCUUGGGGCUAAUACCCUCGAGGAAGGACAUCACCCACAGAAGAAGCACCGGCUAACUCCGUGCCAGCAGCCGCGGUAAUACGGAGGGUGCGAGCGUUAAUCGGAAUUACUGGGCGUAAAGCGCGCGUAGGCGGUCUGAUAAGCCGGUUGUGAAAGCCCCAGGCUCAACCUGGGAACGGCAUCCGGAACUGUCAGGCUAGAGUGCAGGAAAGGAAGGUAGAAUUCCCGGUGUAGCGGUGAAAUGCGUAGAGAUCGGGAGGAAUACCAGUGGCGAAGGCGGCCUUCUGGACUGACACUGACGCUGAGGUGCGAAAGCGUGGGUAGCAAACAGGAUUAGAUACCCGAGUAGUC
RNAcentral lists this ribosomal RNA (465 nucleotides) under Vreelandella stevensii. RNAcentral describes it as "partial 16S ribosomal RNA". It matches the Rfam family "Bacterial small subunit ribosomal RNA", at positions 338 to 795 of the family's 1533-position model. Lineage: Bacteria; Pseudomonadati; Pseudomonadota; Gammaproteobacteria; Oceanospirillales; Halomonadaceae. The record is from RNAcentral.